This 332-nucleotide ribosomal RNA is filed under the name uncultured Gemmatimonas sp. RNAcentral describes it as "bacterial SSU rRNA". It matches the Rfam family "Bacterial small subunit ribosomal RNA", at positions 568 to 898 of the family's 1533-position model. Lineage: Bacteria; Pseudomonadati; Gemmatimonadota; Gemmatimonadia; Gemmatimonadales; Gemmatimonadaceae. The record is from RNAcentral.
CGCGUAGGUGGCUUGGUAAGCGUGUGGUGAAAGCCUGGGGCUCAACCCCAGGUCUGCCGUGCGAACUGCCAAGCUUGAGCGUAGUAGAGGCAGGUGGAAUUUCGGGUGUAGCGGUGGAAUGCGUAGAUAUCCGAAAGAACACCGGUGGCGAAGGCGGCCUGCUGGGCUACUGCUGACACUGAGGCGCGACAGCGUGGGGAGCAAACAGGAUUAGAUACCCUGGUAGUCCACGCCGUAAACGAUGGGUACUAGGCGUCUGGGGGAGCGACCCCCUGGGUGCCGGCGCUAACGCAUGAAGUACCCCGCCUGGGGAGUACGGCCGCAAGGCUGAA